UAAAACACUGGCUGAUUCUCCGAAUAAUGCGAAUGGCCCCAACGAUCCCAUAGUUACAGGCUGCUGCGCUCCAAGGCCAACCAGGGCAUGUCCAAUGCCCUGUAUUUCUUCACCAGAGCCUGCACGGAGGAGGAGUUCCAUCAUUAUGGUCUUGCAUUAGAUAUAUAUACCCACUUUACUUCUCCAAUAAGAUAUUCAGAUAUUGUAGUACACUGCUUGUUAAUGGCAGCCAUUUCAAAAGAAAAGAAAAUGAAAAUUAAGGGAAAUUUGUUCAGCAACAAAGAUCUUGAGGAAUUAUGCGGACAUAUCAACAAGAGAAACCAAAUGUUCUCAGGUAACUUUUAUGGAAUUGGAAGAUUUGACAGAUUAUUGGUUCCCACACCUCAAAAGGUGGAAAUAUAAAGAUUCACUGUAAUCCCAGCAUUUUGGGAGGCUGAGACAGACAUAUCACUUGAGGUCAGAAGUUUGAGACAAGCCUGGCCAAUAUGGCAGCACAGCAUUCACAGAAGCAGUCUACUGAACUCUUCCAGUGCACGUACUUCAAAGACAAAGACCCUGACACUGAGGAGCGUUGCCUAUCUGAUGGAGUUAUUUAUUCAAUUUGAACAAAUGGUGUGCUUGUAUUUAUACCAAGGUUUGGGAUUAAAGGUGCUGCUUAUCUAAAAACUAAAAAUGGUUUAGUCAUCUCAUGUGGCCCAGACAGCUGUUCUAAAUGGAAACCAGGAUCCCUUCAACGAUUUCAAAACAAAAUUACCUCUACUACAACAGAUGGGGAAUCUGUUACAUUCCAUUUGUUUGACCAUGUAACUGUAAGUCUUUAUUUCUAUAAAGUAUUAUUAAUAUUUUAAAUGUAAAGAACAAAUAGUAUGAUUUAGUAAUGUAUUUUCUUCUCUAUGCUAGGUAAGAAUAUCUAUACAGGUCUCACGCUGCCAUUCUGAUACCAUCAGACUUGAAAUAAUAAGUAACAACCAUACAAGAUCCCAAAUACAGAACUUUUUCACCAGAGUUCCCCCUUGCUGAAGAGUGAGUUAGUGAAAGAAGCAACUAAAUCUGUGGAAGAAGCUCAGCUUGCCCAAGAAGUCAAAGUGUAAACAUCAUUCAGGAAGAAUAUCAAGAAUAUUGCCAAACAAAGGGAAGGAGCCUAACACACUUCUAGAGGAGAUAAAGGACCUAGCUCUCCUGGAUGUUUCAAACAAUUAUGGAAUAUGAAAGACUCUUACUUCACUAGGAGCUGUCACAUGUGAAUGUUUUACAGUCUUUUCAAACCUGACAUUUAAUGUGUGUCACUCUAGUCGAUCAGGACUGGGUAGCUAUUUCACAUACAUGUAAAAUGUUCUCAUUCAUUAAACUUGCAUUAAAUGAAGUAUAAUUAGGGCACUUUGUUAACUGAGUUUUCAGUAAUGAGUGGACAGUAAGUGGUGGCUCUGCAGCUUGCUGGCCCCUUUUUAAUAAUUUUAA
This is a non-coding RNA of Callithrix jacchus (white-tufted-ear marmoset), 1458 nucleotides long. NCBI's taxonomy places the organism in Eukaryota, Metazoa, Chordata, Mammalia, Primates, Cebidae. The record is from RefSeq and is a predicted model, not a curated record.